Molecule: long non-coding RNA, 30828 nt
Filed under: Gossypium barbadense (sea-island cotton)
Lineage: Eukaryota; Viridiplantae; Streptophyta; Magnoliopsida; Malvales; Malvaceae
Description: long non-coding RNA (GBAR_LNC022905)
Source: RNAcentral
CCUCCUGGUCCGCUCUCUGUGAUCCAUGAAGCCAUUGAAGACUGCACGGUUAAUGGAUACCAUGUUUCAGCUGGCACUUGGCUUAUUAUGAAUCUUCAUAAGAUUCAUCAUGAUCCACUUAUAUGGGCAAACCCUUUUGAAUUUCAACCUGAAAGAUUUAUAACUACCCACAAAGACAUUGAUGUGAGGGGACAGAAUUUUGAACUAGUUCCAUUUGGAAGUGGUAGAAGAAUGUGCCCCGGAGUUUCAUUUUCACUUCAAGUUUUACAGCUUACGUUGGCUAAUGUGUUGCAUUGGUUUGAGUUUGAAACCCCAUCAGGCAUAGCAGUCGAUAUGCGUGAAGGACUUGGGAUAACGAGUUCUAAAACAACUCCAUUAGAAGUUCAUAUAACUCCUCGCCUUCUUGCUUUUGUUUACAAUUCCACUAACCCCAUUAGAGCUUACCCUGGGUAAUUUGCUGCAUUGGUUCGAGUUUCAAACUCCAUCAAACAAUCCAGUCGAUAUGUCUGAAGCAGUCAAAUUAAUGAGUCCUAAAGCAACUCCAUUAGAAGUUUAUAUAACUCCUCACAUUCCUACUUAUGUUUACCUAUAAUUAUAAUAAAUAAAUUUUUAGUAUUAUUACUAUAUAUAUCUUUUUGCUGAUUUAAUAUAUUUAUUUAUUUUGAAUAAAUAAUUUUAUUCAAAACAUGCAUUAUCAAUAAUCGUGUUGAAAGAACAUUUCAACAUACUAAAGCAUAUGAGAACGAAAGUCGAUUGGAACCUUACCCCUGUAUUGGUGGAUAUCAAUGUACUACUAAAGCAUCAAGUUGGAGUUGUUUAUUGGGCUCUUCUAAGAAAAAAUCACAGAGUUCAUUUCAUAAAGAUAUAAUUUUAGCUAAAUCAUAAAUUUAGAGUUGUUAUGCCUCCGCUGCUUGGAUCUACUCCUCACGAAAGCUCCACCUAUUACUCGGACAUAUCUUUCGGGAACAUUCCUUGACCUAACUGUCAUAUUAAUUUAUGUGAGCUCUACUCAUUAAUCGUCACUAUUCAACCUCACUAUCGUGUUUCAUCUAAAGUGAUUGAAAGCACGUCCAAUCGCCACCCUAUCUAAAUCUAUGGUGACAAACCAUUUGGCCCAUUAUUCCUGACUUGCUAAUAGAGACGUGACAUAUGGCAUCUCGAGAUUGUAGCUAAGGGUUUAAAAUCUCUCAAAUCUAACUAGAAAAAGGAACUCUCUCUUUCUCUCCGCUCCUUUCAUUCCUCCUUCAACAACCUAACCCGAUAUCAACACUAUCUUCGUUUGAACACCUCCUAUGGUGGUUGUCUGCCUUAUACCUAACGGGGUGAAUCGCCUAAUUCCACUGUCAUUUCUGUUUUAUCAAAUCCAAGCAUUAACAAUUGAUAAAGUAAGUGUAGACUCACUCCUAUUCUGAUAUUUCUCUAAUACCAAACUCAAAACCAAAUAUAAAAUGUUAUCUAAACUCAACCAAAUCAACACGAAAACUACUACUAUCAUCCUUACAACUAUUAUGCUAAACGAUAUUCAUGUCAACAAAGAUAUUAUAAAGCUUACCCAAACUAUUAAAUUAGACAAUUUGAAUUAAAAGUUGAUUUGAAAUUAAAUGCUUUUAUCGUAUGUGUCAUUAAACGGAGCUUUCUACAUUAGCAUGUAACUUGUUAGAUGGAGCUUUCUAGCAGGCAGGGGCUUGAGCUUGAUCCCCACUUGGCUAAAGGGUAUAGUACCCUUUUCAAUCCCUUUGAAAAUUGAUUCUUAAAUAUUAUUCUUAAAAUUAGUCCACAAGUUUAUCUUACUCGAAAAAAGAUUAAAUUGUUCAAAAAAAUAAAAGUGUAAGGACUAGUUUUAACAGAUGGUAAACAUAGAAAAUUGCGUUAAAAGAAAUGGAGAAGGGAGGAAAACAGAGAGAGAAGCAAAAGAGAAUGCAAAAAAUAAGGAAAAAAAAAGAAGAAAAAAUAACAUAAAAGAAAAAAUGAAAUUUCUCAAAAUGAAAAAAUAUGGGGACCGAUAAUAGAAAUUAACCUAAAAUUUUUGUUUGUAAUGAUGAUUUAAUGUGCCACAUCAGUUUACCAUUUAUAUCGUUAAUGACAAUCAACGACGCAAUGACUAAAAUGUUACAGUGAGAUAACUUAAGUGACUAAAAUGUAACCUAAAGUAAACAAAAAUGACUAUUUUAGUUGUUUACCCAUAAUAUUACUUAUUUUAAUUACGGAAUGACAUUCAUAUAAUUUUUUAACCAAGUUAGUGACCGAUUGACUCAUACACCAACUUGAUCCGGAGUUUAAUAAUAGUAUAGAUAUACAACUGAUGGAACUAAUAGAGUGUGUAUAAUAAAAUUAAAAUAUAUACAAAUAUCAAAAUAAAAUUUUAGUUGAGUGGUAAAUUAAAUAUUUUAAAUAAUGCAAUUGGUGUGAGUUUGAAUCCCAUAAUAUCCAUAUUUUUAUCUCUUUUUUUACGUAAAAAGAUUAAAAUACCCUCAUAGUUUAAUUAAGAAUUGAUGCCCAACUAAUUCGUGACACAAACUCGACAAAAAAAUUAAAAGUAAUAUAGAUUUAAUUAAUUAUUAUCAAAAUUAACUCAAUAUAAAACAGUUAAAAAUCAGAAAAUAUCCGAAUUUAUAUUUAAAAAAAUAUGAAUAGAAAAAUCUAAGAUAAUUUCAAAAAAAAUUCCCACACAUGUACUUUAAUAUUUCCGAACACUGCCAAGCUUCAAUAGGCUAUGUAUACUAUUGUUUGUCAAAAGUAGAAAACGUGGGUGGAUUUUGCGUGAUCCUUUAAGAUAUGUAAGAGAUUGAGCAAUCUUACAAUUAUAUCAACAUUUAGUUAAAUUACGUGAUUAAUCUCUGUAUUAUGAAUUUAAUUCUUGUAUUUUAAUUUAUUUAAUUUUCAACUUUAAAAUUUUAGUUCUCAUCAAACCAUAAUUAUUACAUUCAUUAAGUUAAAUUUUGCUAUUUUCAAAAUUUAAUGCGAAAAACAUAUUACCAUAUAUGUAAUGCCAUGUCUUAUUAUUUUCAAAUAUUACUCACUAAAAAUUCAGUUAAUGGAUUAAUGACGGUCAUUUACGUCAAGAAUGAAAUUUUAAUUUUUAAAAAGUACAGGGAUUUAGAAUGAUCUAAUUGGAGAAUAUGGACUAAAUUUACAAUCGCACACAUAAUACAAGACUAAUAAUUGAAUUUAAACAAACGGAUUUAACUACUGUUUAUUGGGGUUAAGACUAGAAUUUUAAAAUUAAAAAAAAGUUUAAGAGACUAAAAUUCACCAAUUCAAAAAAUAUAAUGAUCAAAAUUAAUCAAAUUAAAAUGUAUGGGUUAAAUCUGUAAGUUUUACAAAGUAGAGGGACUAAUAACAAAAUUUAACCUUAAUUAAAGAAAUUAUUGUUCCUAGAGUGUGGGGGAAUAUAUAUAAUUGGGUAGACAGCAGGUCACAGUUUUCAUUUUUAGGCACCAAAAAUAAAAAUUUACAACUUUGGCACUCCUAAUUUAUCUUUUCCCUCAUCUCUGCUACUCACAUUCCAUUUCUUAUUUUAAUAUUGAAGUGGGAAUCUGGCGAUGGAUUAUUUCUAUUCACUCACAGCAACUUCAACGGUUGCAAUCGUUGCUUUUCCACUACUACUUUUCUCUUUUCUGUCGAUCUCAAGAAGAAACACAAACUCAAAGAAAACAGCACCAGAAGCAGUCGAUAUGUGUGAACUGUGAAGCACUUGGGAUAUCAAGUUCUAAAGCAACUUCAUUAGAAGUUUAUAUAACGUCUUCUUUUUUAUUUUAUUUUAUGAUUCCAUUAACUAAUUGGUAUUUUAAUUUUAUUAAAAAAUGAAUAGAAUUCAAUAAAUUUCUAAGGUACUAUACUCGUCAUGGAAUAAUACCAUAUGCAACUUUUAGUAUUUUAACUUUCUUGAAAAAAAAAAGUAGAAUUCAAUAAAUUUCAAAUAUUUCAGGGAAAAGUGGUUUGCCCAAGUAAUGUUAGUCAAUUUAAUGGUAAAGACAUGAAUGUCCCUUGCACGAUAUCAAAUCCACUGGACCCUUGAUCAGUCCAAUUCAAGGAGACGUAAAGUAUCGCACUACAUGUCAAAUCAAGACCAGCUCUUAACAACAUUUUGAUUGAUUGUUUUCAGAACAAGAAAAAUGGAAAAGAAUUGAUAAUGGAAAUGGAUUGAUCAUUGAUGUAUGAUGGGUGGGGACGGGGGAAAAGGGUACUUCACUUUACAUAAAAAAGAUCAUGAUCUUUGUUCAUCGCAAACAAAAUAUAGGCAAUAGAUUUAGCUAAUAAUAAAUUACAAUUUCUUAAAACAACUAUAAAUCCAACUCCCUCAACUUAAUUAAUUGGUAUGGAUUCAUUUUAUUCAACCCCAACCCCUUCAACCCUUGUGAUAAUUGUUUUUCCAUUAUUGCUAGUUUUUCUUUUCUUUUUUCUAUGGAUAUCAAAAUCUAACCCUACAAAUACAAACAAUGGGAAACUAGCAACAGAAGCGGGUGGAGCAUGGCCUAUUAUUGGCCAUCUCCGCCUCCUAAGAGGGCCACAACCACAUCACAUAAUGUUUGGGUUUUGACAACAAAACAAAGAGAAAAGAAGCAAAGAAAUGUAUGCAAAACAAAUUUGAACAAGAAGAAACUGAAAAAUGAAUCUGAUUAUCAUUUUAAAUUUUCAUUAAGUAAAAAACAUAUAGGUUACAAAGUUGUUACCUAAUGUGUAACCGCUCCCACUAAUUACUUGAUUAAAGUAAAGCUAAAAUUACACACAAAAUGUAGCUGACAUAUCAGCUAUUGUAUCACAUUGGAAAUCAUUCAAAUCAUCAACUAAUCUUUCUAGCUUUAAAUACAAAUUAGGUAAAAACUAAAGCUAGUUACAUAUAUAUGAACAAAAUGUUGCUGCUGUACUAGUUGAGCUUCAAUGCUUCUCUGCUGUUGCAUUGUAGGCCAAAGUUCAACACUCCUCCUUAGACUGUAUGCAACAAACACCAAUACUUCUUCUUAAGUUCUCAAAUCUUGUAGCACCGAGAGACUUAGUUAGUAUAUCAGCAAAUUGAUUCUCUAAGCUGCAAUGAAUCAAAUUAACUUCAUUUGAUUGUUCAGCCUCUCUAACAAAAUGAAAUUUUAUCUUAAAAUGCUUGGUUUUGACAUGAAAUACUGGAUUUUUGGCUAUGGCAACAGCUGACUGAUUGUCAACUCUAAUAUCAGUAGCUUCAGCUUGAUCUUCAUUCAAAUCACAUAAAAGUUUCCUAAGCCAAAUGGCUUGAUUAACAGCUGCAGCAGCUGCAAUGUACUCUGCUUCUUCUGCAGAUUGAGCAACAAUUUUUUGUUUUUUUGAACUCCAACAAAAGACCUUUGAGCCAAGAGUGAAGAAAUAACUAGAUGUUCUCUUCAUGUCAUCAAUGGAUCUUGCCCAAACACUAUCAGAAUACCCUAUCAACUUGAGUUCUUUUGCAUUCUCAAAUUUCACUCCAUAGCUCAAAAUCCCUUUCACAUAUCUAAGAACCCUUUUACCUGCUUUAAAAUGAACAACAUCACAGCAAUGCAUGAAUCUAGAAAGAAAACUAACAUCAAACAUAAUAUCAGGCCUAGUAGCUGUCAAGUAAAGCAGACAACCUACAAGGCUUCUAUACUUUUUCUCAUCAACUCUUUCAUGGUUGCCAUUGUUGGUUAGUUUCUCACCUUGAGCCACUGGUGUGCUAACUGUUUUACAAUUUGACAUACAAAAUUUGUUUAAGAUCUUCAAGGCAAAGGUCCGCUGACUUAUGAAGAUGGCAUGAUCAAUUUGAAUCACUUCCAUGACAAGAAAGUAAGUCAUUUCACCCAAGUCAGCCAUUUCAAAAACAUCUUGCAUCUGCACUUUGAACUCUUUAAUCAACUCUCUCUUGCUUCCAGUUAUCAACAAGUCUUCUACAUAGAGUGACACAAUCAAUAGGGUUUCAUUCUCUAACCUUAUUGUAUCUAACCUUGCAACAGGGGCAAAGGUUUCUUAGAAUUCAAUGCCAUAUUGUUGGCUAUAUCCCUUCACCACAAGUCUUGCCUUGUGUUUGUUUAGAAACCCAUCAGCAUUGUACUUGACCCUAAACACCCAUUUCACACCAAUAAUUCUCUUCUAUUGACCAGAUGUGUCCUCAAUAACAUAGGAGUUAUUAUUGAAAACAAGUGAAUAGCCUUUCUCUAUUAACUGACCAACACUAAGCAAAUUUUGGUCUAUAUCAAGUACAAAAAGGACAUCUGAAAUUGUUUUGUUACCUGAUUUUAUGUUGAUCACAACAUUGCCUCUUCCUUUGGCCUCAAUAAGGUUUCCAUCUCCAAUCCUAACUUUGGAAACAAAGCUUUUGUCAAGAUCUUUGAAUAACCCUUCAUCUGAUGACAUGUGAUGAGUGCAUCCACUGUCUACUAACCAGUCUCUUCUGACUUUGCUAGAAGUUGCAAAAUAGAAUGUAGUGAAAACAUGCUCCUCCCGAGCUUGAAUGUCCUCAGCAGCCUGAGCUUGAUUCUGUUGCUGAGUUUGUGCCCUUACUUUGUUCUUGCAAACUUUCUCAAUGUGAUCAAACUGCUUGCAGCUCCUACACUGAAUAUCAGGCUUGUGCCAACAGUACCUCUCUAAAUGUGUGGACUUUUUGUAGUGAAUGCAUGGUGGAAAUUUCUUCUUUCCUGCAUCCCUCUUUGGUCUCUCCCUCUUGUCAACAGAUGAUUUCUUUCUUUUGUAGCUCAAACUUAAGCUUUCUUUGACUUUUGCUUGAAAAGCUCUUUUAGGAUGCUCCUCCAGUUUGUUGGCCCUUCUUUGCUCUAAUGUAUACAGAGCAUUUAUCAAUUUAGAUAGUGAAAUGGUUGAUAAGUCUCUUAAGUCCUCCAGUGAGGAGAUUUUUGACUCAAAAUUUUCAGGAAGUGUUGUAAUGACCUUCUCAACAACUCUGCUCUCACUGAAAUCAUCUCCAAAGAGCCUAAUGUUAUUGACUGUGGUCAUUACCCUAUCAAAGUACUGCUUGAUUAUUUCAGACUCUUUCAUUUUCAAGUUCUCAAAGUCCCUCCUGAGGUUGAUCAGCUAUUGACUGGUCUUGUCUGACCCCAAAAACUCUUCCUUCAGCUUCUUUCAGGUUUGCUUUGGAGUGUCACAAGCCAUUAUUCGAGUGAAGAUCACAUCAGGACACUAUUUUGCAAGCAUGCUAUUGCUUUGUGCUUCUUGGCAUACUCUUCACUAUGCUGUCUGAUUUGUGCAAUGGUGGGAUUGGGCCUCAAUGCAGCUGGUUCUAUGUCAUUCUCAACCACAUUCCACAAGUCAUGUGCUUGGAGCUAAGUUUUCAUCUUCACUACCUAAAUGUGGUAGUUCUCACCAGAAAAGACAGAUGGUGGUGGUGGUGGUGUAAAGCUUAUGUUGUAGUAACAACAAAAAUAAUAGCUUCAGUUUCUUUUUCUUCAAGGUUCCUCACAAAACAGCUACCAACAACAAAGGCCCUCAAAGAUGACAGGCCUUGUAUACCAUUUGUAAGGGUUUUGACAGUAAAACAAAGAGAAACGAAGCAAAAAAUGUAUGCAAAAUAAAUUUGAACAAGAAGAAACUGAAAAAUGAAUUUGAUCAUCAUUUCAAAUUUUCAUUAAGUCAAAAACAUAUAGGUUACAAAGUUGUUACCUAAUGUGUAACUGCUCCCACUAAUUACUUGACUAAAGUAAAGCUAAAAUUACACACAAAAUGUAGCUGACAUAUCAACUAUUACAUCACAUUAGAAAUUAUUCAAAUCAUCAACUAAUCUUACUAACUUUAAAUACAAAUUACAUAAAAACUAAAUCUAGUUACAUAUGAACAAAAUGUUACUGCUGUACUGGUUGAGCUUCAAUGCUUCUUUGUUGUUGCAUUGCAGGCCAAAGUUUUACAAAUAAGCUUGGGUAACAUGGUAGAAAAAAAUAUGGAAGAACGUUCACUAUCAAGUUGGGUGUGCAUAGAGCUUUGGUGGUGAGUAGUUGGGAUAUUGCUAAAGAAUGUCUCACCAUAAAUGAUAAAGCAUUUGCCACACGUCCAAAGCUUGCAGCUUAGGAAAUUUUGGGUUAUAACAAUUCCGUGAUCGCCGUUGUGUCGUACGAACCUUUCUGGCGUCAAGUACACAAGUUUGCUACUGUUGUGCUCCUUUCUAAUCACCGGCUUGACUUGAUGUGUAGGAUCACCCCGAUUAAGCAACGAACAAGUAAAAAUAGUAGAAGAAAUUGAGAAGUUGAACACACAAAUUUAACGUGGAAAAACCCCUCCAAAGAGGAUAAAAAACCACGGGCAAAAAUAAUUUUACUAUAAUGGCAAAAGAACGAAGAGUACAAAAGAUGGAGAUAAAAACUAAACCCCAAAAAUCCGAAAACAAAGAACCCUCAAAACGUAAACACAAAAUUCUCUAAAUAUGUUAUGAGUUCUAAUCUAAUGGGUGUGUUUUUCUAAGAUUGUAAAAGAGCCUAUUUAUAGGCUAAAUUAGUAAGUCAAAUAAACUAUAUUGAUAAAUGCUAAAUUUAUUAUACUAAUAAAUACUAAAUCUUCUAGAAAUAAAACAUAUUUUUGUUUAACUUGACUUGCAAGCAAUCUCUUAGAAUUUGGGUCAUACAAUUCUAACAAUCUCCACCAUGACAUGAAUUCUUUCAACGCCAUCUUUGCCAAAACCCGCCACGGGCCUAUCUUGAACUAUGCAGGAAAUUAACUGAGUUGAAUCUAUGCUUAGAAGCUGGAAUACUUUUAGCCUUCGACUUGUGCACUGCCAAAUCAAAACUAACCCGGGUCUGAUUUUUACAAAUACAGUGCCCUAACUUUUCAAAACCUGCAUCCAAAAGAGAACCUCUCUUCAACAAAAUAGUCAUACCUUUUUCCCUCCUACGACCAAGUUGCCUCCGCUCAAAACGAGUUAACUUUGACUCUAUAACGGACGAGGGAUGUCCGAUUUCACCGGUCACUGUAGAACCUUCCAGAAUAUAAAGACUGCCAGUUCUUUUACCUUAUAACAAAACGAGAGCUCCACGAGAUAUUUUAAUGUCGUUAGACUCGAUGUUGAUUCUGCAUUCUUUCAAGUCUAAAAUACUUAAGGAGAUGAGAUUCUUUCGUAAAUCAGGUACAUACCUGACAUCUGAGAGUGUCCUAAUCGUCCCAUCAUGUAUCCUAAUUUUAACAGUACCAAUACCAAUUAUUUUACUAGAUGAAUCAGUUCCCUUGUGCACAACUCCACCUUCAAUUAAACUGUAUGUGGAGAACCAUUCUCUAUUGGGACAUAUAUGGAAAGAACAUCCUGAAUCUAGGAUCCACUCAGACGUAAGCUUGGAGUUAUCGCUCGUUGACACUAACAAGAAAUCAUCACCACCUUCAUCGACCAAAUUAGCAUCAAUUGCACCUUUCUCGUUAUUCUCAACAGCUCUUUUAUUUCGUAGUUUAUAACAAUCUGUUUUGACGUGACCUAACUUUUUACAAUAGCGACACCUUUUGUCUCGUUUCUUUGAUGCUACCAAAAUGGAAUCUUGCCUAUCUACUUUGCUAUUCAAACCAAAAUCAUUGUCGAGUUUGUCUCUACUCGACAAAUGACCCUUCACAUCUUCGAAUGAGAGUUUGUCUAUGCCAUAAAUCAGGGUCUCCCUGAAAGACUUGUAUGAAGAGGGUAAAUAGCACAAUAAUAGCAUAGCUUGAUCUUCAUCAUCAAUAUGAACCUUGACGUUCUUUAAAUCAUUUAAAAGAGUAAUGAAUUGGUUGAUGUGAUCUCUAAGAAGCUCACAUUCGUUCAUGGGAAACGUAAAUAGACGUUGUUUCAACUCUAAAUGGUUAGCCAGAGACUUAGUCGCAUAAAGAGUUUCUAACCUUUUCCACAAGGCGAAUGAGGUCUUCUCCAUCAAUACCAUCUGCAAUACUGUAUUCGCGAGGCACAACUAGAUUGCAGACAAUGCCUUUUCAUCAAGCUCUUCCCAUUUUGUUUGAUUUAGAUUCUCAGGAUUUUCCCUGUAAUAACCUUUUUCAAGACAUUUUGAACUAGAAUUGCCAUUAUCCGAACUUGUCACAGAUUGAAAUUUGUCUCACCAUCGAACUUCUUAAUUUCAAACCUUGUUGCCGUCAUAUCUAAAUGGGCUGAUAUAUGAAAAUUGAACUAUUUCUGAUACCACUUGUUAGAAUCGUCCCGAUUAAGCAACGAACAAGUAAAAAUAGUAGAAGAAAUUGAGAAGUUGAACACACAAAUUUAACGUGGAAAAACCCCUCCAAAGAGGAUAAAAAACCACGGGUAAAGAUAAUUUUACUAUAAUGGCAAAAUAACGAAGAGUACAAAAGAUGAAGAUAAAAACUAAACCCCAAAAACCCAAAAACAAAUAACCCUCAAAACGUAAACACAAAAUUCUCUAAACGUAUCAUGAGUUCUAAUCUAAUAGGUGUGUUUUCCUAAGAUUGUAAAAGAGCCUAUUUAUAGGCUAAAUUAGUAAGUCAAUUAAACUAUACUAAUAAAUGCUAAAUAUAUUAUACUCAUAAAUACUAAAUCUUCUAGAAAGAAAGUAUUUUUUUGUUUAACUUGACUUGAACUUGACUUGCAAGCAAUCUCUUAGAAUAUGGGUCACGCAAUUCUAACAUGAUGAAACAUGUACGGGAAUAUGAGAUAAAGACAUCUAUGUAAAAGUUAUAUCAGCUAUAGAACACUGAGAAAAGUAGUAAGAGUGAAAAAAUAUUGGUGGAUAUGAAGAGAAGGUUCAAAGGUGUUACUCUUAACAUGAUUUUAAGAGUUAUUUUAGGGAAGCGAAUACCGAAUUCAUACGAAAGAGGUGAAACCCUAAAAUGGAAUAAGUCAAUGGAUAACUUUUUUGAGCUAGGUGGGAAGUUUGUAUUAUCAGAUACACUGCCGUUUUUGAGAUGGUUAGACAUUGGUGGAGAGGAGAAGCUCAUGAAGAAGACGAGAAAAGAAUUAGACUAGGUUGUCGAGGGAUGGCUACGAGAGCACAAGGAAAAGAGAGCUGAAAAUGAUGUGAAUAGUGAUGAAGAUUUCAUGAGAGUAAUGUUGUCUAUUCUAUGUGAUAUGGAAAAGCAUGAUUUUGAUAUAAUCAACAAAGCCACAAGUCUUGUAUGGGCAAAUCUCCUUACCGCAAUCUUCAUUAGAACUAUGUUCAAAUUACACUUUUAAUGCCAUAAGGAAGUUAUGAUGUUGAAUAUUAAUUGUUGGUUUCAGGCUCUUAUCUUAGCGGCAGAAGAUAUCUCAUCAAUCACACUAAUGUGGGCUUUGUCUUUGUUACUUUAUAAUAGUGGUGCAACGAGAAAAGUACAACAUGAGCUAAAACAAUAGGAGCUAAACAUUCAUAUUGGUAAACAUAGAUUGUUAGUCAUAGAAUCAGACACCAAAAACUUAGUCUACCUUCUAUCAAUCAUUAAAAAAACAUUACGCUUAUAUCCUGCUAUUCUACUUUCGGGUAUCCAUAAAGCCAUUGAAGAUUGUACGAUUAAUGGUUUUUUUGUUUCAGCUGGUACUUAGCUUAUUUUCAAUCUUCAAAAGAUUCAUCGUCAUCCACUUGUAUGGGAAAACUCUUUGAAUUUUCCACUCGAAAGAUUUAUGACUACCCAUAGAAACAUUGAUGUGAAGGGACAAAAUUUUGAACUAAUUCCAUUUGGUAGUGGUAAAAGAAUGUGCCUUGGAAUUUCAUUUGCACUCCAAGUUUUAGAGCUUAUGCUAGGUAAUUUGCUACAUUAGUUUGAGUUUGGAACUCCAUCAAACGAUCCAGUCAAUAUGUCUGAAGCAGCCAGUUUGUCGAGUCCUAAAGCAACUCUAUUAGAAGUUCAUAUAACUCAUCGUAUUCCUACUUAUGUUUACCAAUAAUUAUCAUAAUUAAUUUUUUAGUAUUAUUACUAUUUAUAUAUUUUUUGUGGAUAUCAAAAUUGUUAGUAUAUUGAUUAUUUAUCGAACUAUUAUUAUAUAAACAAUCAAAAAUAAAUAUUUGGGCUGCUUGGUGCUAUUGGUGCAAUUGAAUUUGCUCAUUUAAUAUUUUUAUUUAAUUAUUUUUUUAUGAAUAAAUAAUUUUAUUCAAAAUAUGCAUUUCAAUAGUUAUGUUGAAAGAAUAUCAACGUACCAAAGCAUCUUAGAACGAAUGCCAAUUGAAACCUUAUCCCUGUAUUGGUGGAUAUCAACGUACUACUAAAGAAUUAAGUUGGAGCUGUUUACUAGGUACUUCUAAGAAAAUUUGAGAGAGUUCAUUUCAUAAAGAUACAAUUUUAGUUAAAUGAUAAAUUUAAAGUUGUUAUGCAUUCACUACACCAAAACAGGUUUUUAGCGGCGUUUUUUAGGCCUUUAGCGGCGCUUUUUAACGCCACUAAAGAUAUUUGCGGCGCUUCUUCAAGCGCCGGAAAAAAUGCCGCUAACGAAAACGUCGCAAAUGUUUGCAGCGUUUACAAACAAAAACGCCGUUAAAGACCAUGUUCUUUAGCGGCGCUUAGAAAAAAACGCCGCUAAAGAUCAUGUUCUUUAGCGGCGCUUAGAAAAAAACGCCGCUAAAGAACAUGUUCUUUAGCGGCGUUUGUAAAAAAAUGCAACUAAAGACCAUGUUCUUUAGCGGCGCUUAGGAAAAAACGCCGCUAAAGAACAUGUUCUUUAGCGGCGCUUAAGGGAAAACGCCGCUAAAGAUCAUGUUCUUUAGCGGCGUUUUUUUUCUAAUCGCCGCUAAAGAACAUGUUCUUUAGUGGCGCUUUUAUACAAAAACGCCACUAUUUUGGGGAUUUUUUUAUAUUAAAAUUUUCAUUUUUUCUGCCCUCCUGUAGCAAAAAUUCAAAAGCAACAUUUCAAAAGCAACCAAUAGCAAUAAAUUUAUAUAAUAUUUCAACAUAAGGGAAUAAAAUAAUAUUAAUAUCAAUAAAUAAAAGUGAAUUCAUAUUGUUUUUGCAAAAAAUGUUAAAUGUUAAAUGUUAAAAUGAUAAAAAUAUUUAUGUCAUACACUAUGAAGGUGGAAGUUGCGACUUAAACAUCUUCAUCAUAAUCUGAAGCUGCUGCUGAAGUUCGUCGUACUUUUUGCUCUACUCUGCUUCUCUUGCUGCAGCCUCCGCUUCCCUCACUGCAGUCGCUGCUUCCCUCGCUUCCGCCUCUGCUUUAAGUUGUAGCUGGAGUUCUUCAUAUUUCCUUUGAACCUCAAUUGUAGUCGCUUGCAUCUGAGCCAUUUGGUCUUUUAACCUCUGAACUUCAGCUUGAGCCUGACUCCCCGAAGCCAUGUAUUGGUGGGAGCUGGAUCCAAAAUAUUGGGUUGGGCUAACAAAAGAUCCUUGAAAUCGAACCCGACCAUACCUUUCAGGACCCAAAACUUCAGUAAUAAUCCGAUUAUCAAUAUCUUCAAGAUGAACCUAACUAUCACUAGAAGCAAUUGCUUCGUACUCCGCCUUUUUAUCAUUUAGUUUUUCCUAAUAAAUAUAUCACAUAGUUAGGAACACAAUAUUAUAUAUUGAAAAACAUAUGCAACAUAACAAUAGUCGCAUUAACUGCAAUGAAUUAAACCAUUAGAAAAUAAACACUAUAAAUAACUAAAAUAAGUCAAAUCGUAUUAAGUAAACGUACCAUUAUUUCAGCAGCUUCAGGAGUCAUGGGAGAUCCAUCUUUCUUCCUAUGUGUAAUUUCAAAAAGUUGAAGGCGUCCAACUUUUUGACCGGACGACCGUUCCUACAAUAUAGUAGUAUAAAUAUUAUUUAAUAGAAAGUUAUACAUAUUCGACAAUAUUAAAAAAUUUAAAAAUACCUCCGCCUCAGCUACACAUGCGAAACUUCUCGACCCGGCUGUGUGGGUGAAUUUUUGUUUCUGCCUGCUGCUUAUUUCAACUUGUUCACGAUCCUACGUUAUGAAAUUUUUUAGUACGUAAAUAGAAAAUACUAUAAACCAAAAUAAUUACAAUAGUUUAGAAGGACGUCAGACCUCGCCUUUAUUCGAAUGCCAAAAUCUAACCGCAUCUUCCCAUUGGUACCUCAACAUACCCGGCGGGACAUUUUGCAAUUUCUUAUCGAGGGUUGUUUUUGUCUUAUAAUAAUUUUUCUUCAAAGUACUUUUGUUGUCUCUCCAUCUUUUUCCCAAUGCCUUCUUUACAUAAGCAUCCGAGACCUCUAAAGCAAACCUCGCCUGCAAAAAACAAAAAACACAAGUUAAUAAAAUAAAUAUAAAUGAAACUAUUUCCCAAGCAUUAUAGAUGACAUUAACAUUUUGUUACCUUAAUAUUAUCGAGGGCUUGGUUUUUGUUGCUAUCGGGCAUUUGAUGCCAUGACUCGUAGUUUAUAGGUAACAUAUUCGGAUUUCGUGCUAAAAUGCCCAUGUAUCCAGCUAAAAGUCGAGCUUCUGAUCCAACAGGCUGACCAAAACUGUUUCGUCCAACUUUGACACGCUCGACUGAAUCUAACUCGUACAACUCUCUAAGUAGCGUACGUCCUCGACCUCUGCGCGUCCCACCAUUUUCAGCUACAAAUGGUAUAUUAUAAUAUAAGAAUUUGAAAAAUAAAUCAACUAUAACAGAAACACGCAUGUAAAUUAAAUGAAAAAUUACUUUGAACUUCUGUAGGAUCCUCAGCUGUAAUCGGAACAUUUGAAGAUCCAACUGCUGUCUGUUGUUCAGUACUAUUAGUUUCUGUCGAGUUUGGAUUAUUUUGAACAAUGCUUCCCCUUAGAAUUUUUCUUCUAGGCAUUUUAUCUACAAUACACAUAAAAUAGUUAAUAACUUAAUAGCUAAUUACAACAAUAACAGCACAUAUAAAACAGUUGAAACAUAUAAUAAGACGAAGAUUUAAAUUAUGAUAUUAUAUAUAAUUAAACAAUCGUAAAAUCUUACUACAUCAUUAUUCGUAAAUAUCUUCAUCGGUAUCCUGACGAACCCAUCCAAAUUGUGCACUAGUACUAGGGAUAUUAUCGUUUAAGUUUAGUUCUGGAAAGGGUAAAGUUACUGAUCUAUCUUCGAUGUUAUCUCUACUUCCACUGCCCAUAUCAAACAAGUCUCUAGGGAUGUUACGGAGUACAACGUACCAACCCUCAUCAGUUGGAUCUUUUGAGUAAAAAACUUGUUUGACUUGAGAUGAGAAUACAUACGGCUCAUCUAUCAGUUGUUGUCCUGUGUGAAUCAAUCGGUCAAAGUUCACCAUUGUAAAACCAAAUUGAUCUUGCUUAAUUCCACGAGCUGUAUUAACAUCGGCCCAAUCACCACGAAAUAAGACAACUUUCCAUUUGCCGUAGUAAUCCAACUCAAUUAUGUCAGUAAGUUGUCCGAAAUAUUCCACAUUUCCCUCGACAGGAUUAUUGUCCCUAGCACUAGCAUAACUCGUAAUUGCAGAAUUGACAACAAUUCCACAAUUUUGCGUUCUCCUCAACCUCUCGCGAUAUUUUGUAUGAAAUCUGAAUCCGUUGAUGAGGAACGCACUAUAUCUUUUAACCACUCGAUUUGGACCUUGGGAGAGCCAUUUAACAUCGUCGUCCGAAAUAAUUAAUGUUAUCUUCAAUACUCAAUUUUGAAUCAUAUAUGAAGUUUUAAAAUUAACUAUAAAGAUUCAUAAAACAAUUAUAUGGGGCGGGUGACAGUUUAUGAACAAUCUUUUAAGUGAGAUUAUUCAGCCGUCCAUCAAUGAACUUAGUCACUCCCUUUAUCCAACUUUUAACCAAAGGAACAUGUACAUGUUAAACUUCUUUAAUUGUAGGCUUCUUUUAGUUAUAAUCGACAUCAGAUUCAGUCGUUUUGAGGCUCUUCCAAGUUGGUUCAUUCCUAGGCUUUUAACAAAAUCUAACUUUUUGAAACCCCAUAUUGUACAUGAUUCAUCAUUUUCUUCAUCCCUUGCCAACAUUGUUUCCAAAAGAAAACAAACCAGAAAAAGCAAAAUCUGCUAAAGAACAGAACAAUAUCAGGUUGUUUAAUGUAUUAAAGGCAAACUAGAUUCCCCAAUUUGGUAAGAAAGGCAUAUAUUCUCGAUAACACAAUAACCAAGACUACAUAUAUACUGACAUAUAAAACAGUUUUGCUUAUUGUCCUAGUUGCCACAUAUGUUUAAAAGGAACCCAGAUUAAACUCUAGAAUCCACAGCCAUAAAGAUGAUAAUACAUUAGUUACCCAUUAGUUACCCACUAGUUACCCAUAGUUUGAGAUAUUCAAAUUUAGUUACCCAUUAGUUACCCAAAUACUACCAUUAGUUACCCUUUUAUGCUUCUCCAAAAAUCGCUGUAAUGGAGAAACAGCAGGCUAAGUUGUGCAAAACAUAACUCAAACCAACUAAAGGAGCAUUUGUCAUUGGCGAAAGCACUUUUUUUAUAGCUUCAACAAAUCAUAUCCGACUUUCCCAAAAUCGGAAGGUCUGUCCCUGUCUUCAAUCUUAACAAUUUCAUUUUCAUGGCCACGCCAUUGAUGCUCCUAGUUUUAUUAUUGGCUGUGUUUUGUAUUCGGGCAACCCCUAAAUAGACAAAAUUUUACCCCGAACAAACCCUUCUAUUUAAAUUGCUAAAUAAACAAUUCACAAGUUCCCCAAAUUCCCAAACAAGAAUGGUGUUUUAACCUAAACCGCAAACCCUAAAAUUUAAUUUUUUUUCUAAGCCCCAAAUUCGAAAAACACAAUGCACCCAAAACCCCAAAUCAAGACGAUGUUCUUCAGAAGGAUUAAACGCAUACCUUUUAACCAGAUAUUCUGCAACUACUGUCAAGAAUGGCGCAAUCGUUGCUUCCUCUUUGAUGAUUUCUGAUUUCUCCUCCCCUUUCUUCCUUAGAAUAUUUUCUUAGGUUUUUUCCCCUUCCCAAUCGGCGUUUUCACUUGCAGAAUAUUUUCUUUCUGUCUUUGUCGACGAGUGAGUAAAAAUGCUAAGUUAAAAGCCAUCUGCAGAAACGGCAUCGUUGAGAAAAAAUUUUAAAACACCUUUGCGGCGUUUAUAGACCAAACGCCACAAAAAAUUAAACCUUUUAACAGAAACGGCGCCGUUUUCUUAGUCUGAAAUUGCAUUUUUUGUGGCGUUUAAUAAAAACCGCCACGUAUACUUAAGCCAAACGUUGACGUUUUCAAUAAAUUAUUCUAAAAUUUUUCCAAGUUAAAAAUCUGUUCCGGAAACGACGUCGUUUAGCGAUUAUAUUAACACCGUUUUGUGGCGUUUUUGGUAAAAACGCCACUAAAUAUUACAGCUGUGAACAGAAACAACACCGUUUUCGUGGUCUGGAAUUGCAUUUUUUGUGGCGUUUUUAGAAAAACGCCACUAAAUAUUACAGCUGUGAACAGAAACGACACCGUUUUCGUGGUCUGGAAUUGCAUUAUUUGUGGCAUUUUCUUAAAAACGCCACUAAAAGUUUAACUAUUCAUUCGAAAACGGCGCCGUUUUGAAUUUUUUUAUUUUUUUAUUUCAUUUCUUAUGUAUUUGGUCAUAUAUAUAUAUAUCCAAAAUAAAUAAUUAUACCUAAAUAUAUAACCAUCCAUAUAAUAUAUAUCAAUAUAUUUUUUAACUUAUUUAUGAAUUCUAUUUAAAAUAAUUUUUAAAUAUAUCAAUUGGUACUUUAGAUUGAUUUUUUAAAAUAUUAUUUAAAUAAAUUAAUCUAAACUAACCUAAAAUCCUUAUUUGACCCCUAAACCCUAAAUCUUUAACCCCUAGAUUGCAACUUGUAACCCCUAAACCCCUAGCUAACUCUUACAUCCCAAACCCUAAAUCUGUACCCCCUAAUCCUUAAAAUAGCACGACCUCUUUUACGACCUCUUUUACAGUUAUAUAUAUAAGAACAUAUUUAAAAUAUAAUUUGUCAAUACUAAUUAAUCUAAACCCUAGCUAAACCCUAAAUCCUUAAUCAACUCCUAAUAACCCCUAAACAUUAUAUCUCAGCCCUUACACCAUAUCCCUAAAUCCAAUAUUAUAUAUAUACUCUUGAUCAAUUAUAAUAAUAACCUUAAAAUAGUAACCCCUAAACCGACUUAAAAUCUUAAAUUAAUAAUAUCAUAUAUAUACCCUUAAAACCUAAAACCCUAUAUUAACUAUAGUGAUACGCUUAAUUAAAUAUUUUAAAUUUAAAUUAAUACUUACUAUCUCUUUUAAUUACGAUAAUAAUUUCAAAUUUUUAAUAUAUAAAUUAAAACUUUAAAUAAUACUUUAAAAUUUAAAUUAUUUUAAAUAAUACUAUUUUAAUUUUUCCAUGUGUUUUAUUUCAAAUUAUUUAUACCUGUUAUUUUUUAUUGAAGAUUUUAAAUAUUCUAUUAGAAAUAUGUUUAAUUUGAUUCAAAUAAUAUAAAUAAUAGUUCAAUUAAGAUAAUUUUUUUUGCGGCGCAUAAACAAAAACGCCUCUAAAACACCUAGAUUAGCGGCGCUUUACAAAAACGCCACUAAUGCCCCCCCAAAGGACACAAAACGGCACCGUCUGGGAGUAUUAUUUGCGACAUUUUUUAUAAGCGCUGCUAAUGUUCACUCUUUAGCGGCGCUUUACAAUAAACGCCACUAAGUCCCCCCCAAAGGCCACAAAACGGCACCGUCUGGGUGUAUUAUUUGCGGCGUUAUCUAUAAACGCCACUAAUGCUCACUCUUUAGCGGCGCUUCGCAAUAAACGCCACUAAGUCCCCCCCAAAGGCCACAAAACGGCACCGUCUGGGUGUAUUAUUUGCGGCGUUAUUUAUAAACGCCGCUAAUGCUCACUCUUUAGCGGCGCUUUACAAUAAAUGCCACUAAGUCCCCCCAAAGGCCACAAAACGGCACCGUCUGGGUGUAUUAUUUGCGGCGUAAUCUAUAAACGCCACUAAUGCUCACUCUUUAGCGGCGCUUUACAAUAAACGCCACUAAGUCCCCCCCAAAGGCCACAAAACGGCACCGUCUGGGUGUAUUAUUUGCGGCGUUAUCUAUAAACGCCACUAAUGCUCACUCUUUAGCGGCGCUUUUCCUUAAACGCCACUAAUGCUCACUCUUUAGCGGCGCUUUUAAUUAAACGCCGCUAUUGCUCACUCUUUAGCGGCGCUUUUGCUCCAAACGCCGCUAAAAGUGCCGCUAAAAGCUUGUUUUGGUGUAGUGAUUCACCACUUCUCGAUCUACUCCUUACGAAAGCUCUACCUAUUAGUUGAACAUAUCUUUCGGGAACAUUCCUCGACCUAGUAAUCAUAUUAAUUUAUGUGAAUUCCACUCAUUAAUUGUCACUACUCAUUCUAAGAAGAUAGCGAAAGAAUUGGACCAAGUUGUGCAGGGAUGGUUACGAGAGCACAAACAGAAGAGAGUUGAAAAUAAGGCAAAUGGUGCGGAAGAUUUCAUGGGAGUAAUGUUGUCUAUUCUUAGUGAUGAUGAGGAACACCAUGCUGAUACAAUCAACAAAACCACGUGUCUCGUACGUGCGUCUCUUAACCAUUUUGGUCAAGAUUGCUAUUACUAACAUACGUAAGUUGGAAAUGUUAUUAUUUUAUUGUUGAUCUUUUUAUGGUAUAUGAUCUAACAUGACAUUGUCUUAGGUGCAGAGGAUACUACAUCGAUCACAUUGAAAUGGACCUUAUCUCUACUACUUAGUAAUCGUGACAAAUUGAGUAAAGUCCAACAAGAGCUAGAUGUCCACGUUGGUAAGGAUAGACUACUAGUGACUGAAUUAGACACAAAAAACUUAGUCUACCUUUAAUCCAUCAUUAAGGAAACUUUAUGUCUCUACCCUUCUAUUCCGCUCCCCCUAAUCUAUGAAGCCAUUGAAGACUGCACGGUUAAUGGAUACCAUGUUUCAACUGGUACUUGGCUUAUUAUGAAUCUUCAUAAGAUUCAUCAUGAUCCACUUAUAUAGACAAACUCUUUUUAAUUUCAACUUGAAAGAUUUAUGAAUACCCACAAAGACAUUGGUAUAAGGGGACAAAAUUUUGAACUUGUUCCAUUUGGAAGUGGUAGAAGAAUAUGCCCUAGAGUUUCAUUUACACUUCAGAUUUUGUCAUUUACACUAGCUAAUGUGUUGCAUUGGUUUGAGCUUAAGACUCCAUCAAACAAAGCUGUCGAUAUGCGUAAAGCACUUGGGAUAUCGAGUUCUAAAGCAACUUCAUUAGAAGUUUAUAUAACCCCUCGUCUUCUUUUUUUUUUAAUUUAUGAUUCCAUUAACUAAUUGGCAUUCUAAUUUUAUUAUAAAAAGAGUAGAAUUCAAUCAAUUUCUAAGGUUACUUGUCAUGUAAUAAUACCAUAUGCAACUUUUGGUAUAACAACCUAAUUUUCAGUGGUGUCAGAAAUAGUGAUUCAAGAUCACUAAAUCUGACUAGUGAGUUUUAAAAUUUAAUGAAUAAAUACAUAUGAGUCAAGUGUGAUUAUAGAAGAAUUUUGGAUUAGUAAAUUUUGUGAUUUAAAAACAAAUUAAUAAGUAAAUUUGGUCUAAAAUGAGGUAUCAAAACCUCGAACUCAUAAAUCGAGCCAUAAAUAUUUUUAGAAAUAUUUAUAGAGUGUUACUGAGUUGGUGUUAAAGUUUUGUUAGAAAAUUCUAACGUUUGGAUGGUCAAUUAAUUAAAAAGAACUAAAUUGAGAAUAGUGAAAAAUUUGUUAAAUUAUGAUUAAAUAGCUUAAGUGACUAAUAGGGAGGGAUUUAAAAGGCAAUUAGGCCCAAAUUAUAUGGGCUGGAUGGUUUGGGCAAGAAAAUCAGGAAGAAAAUAAGGAGAAACAAGGGAAAAAUUAGAAAUUUUGCAAAUUAAACAUAUAAAACAAAGACAAAAUUGAAAAAUCUAGAGAUUUCUUCAUAAUUCAUCAGCAAAAAUGCCAUAGGAGGUCUGAAACAGUCUGUUUUCUCAUAUUUUUAUACCAUGUGAGUUCAAUUCUUGCUUUUUCUUUGAAUUUUUUUAUGUUUUGUGACUUUUACAACUAGGUCCAACUAUUUAAUUCAUUAGUUUUUGAUUCCAUGGGUGAUUUUGUAAGUUACCAUGAAUAAGUGCUGGAAUUUUAUGAUUAAUUAUAAUAUAUUUGAAGCUUUAAUUUCAUUAUAUUUUGAUUUUAUUAAGUGAUUUUAGUAGAAAAUGAUUUUUAUGACCUAAUUGUGAAAAACCUAGGAAUUGGGGUGUUGUAUUGAAAUUAUGAAUAUCAAAGGCUGUAAUAUAGCCUAAAAUUAUUAGAUAAAGUGUUAUUUGAGGAAAAAAUUGUUCAAUUGAAAUGUUAAUUGAGUAGAGACUAAAUUGUAAAAAUUAUAAAUUUUGGAGUAAAAGUGUAAUUUCAAAAAUUAAAGGGCAUAAAUUGCGAAGUGAAUUAGUAUUGAAUUAUAUGCUAAUGAAUGGAAAAAUUUAUAUUAUAGAUCGAGAAUCUGAAGAUAAACAAGGAAAAGAAAAAGUCGUUGAUUAGUCCCUGAAAUAUUACAAUUCCUACAAAUUGGCCUAGGUAAGUUCGUACGGCUGAACGUUUAUGAUUAAUUGUUAAUGUGGUAAUGACAUAAUAUAUUAAUUCGUGUAUUGUUGUUGAAUUAUUAUUGUAAAAAUGUGAAAAUCAAAUUGUAAGUUCAAAUUAAGGGAUACGCAGGAUUGAGUAUGUACGUUUAGUAACCAGCGAUGAAUUAGCGAAUAAGUCCAUGGUGGAUCCAUGGAAAAGUGUGGAAUGUAGGUGUGGUAUUUCAGUAAAGUAAACCAUAUUGAGUUGUGAAAUGUAGGUAUGGUAUUUCAGUUAAGAUAACCGUACUGAGUCGAGAAAAGUAGGUAUGGUAUUUCAGUGAAGAAAGCCAUACUGAGUUAUAGCAUUGUAAAAGAUUCAAGCGAAUCGUGGCAUCGGGCAAAUGAUGUACUCAAAUCCGUAAGGCAAUCCUUAAUUAGACAAGUAUUUGUAAGUGCAAUUGAAGCUAAAUGUUGGAAUAUAAGUUUAUAUCUGAUAUUGAGCUCGAUUGAGUAAAUUCAUUGUUUGAGAUUGCGGUUGGCAGGAAAUGUUGUAUUAUACUUGUUUAUUAUAACUGGUAGUGAAAUUUUGGUAAGAUUUUAUUAUGAGCCUAUGAACUUACUAAGCUUUCUGUAAACUUACUUGUGUGUGUUUAUUAUUUCUUGUAGAUUGAUGUAUAUAUAUGUUCGGAGGAUCGGAUCUACAUCAAGGAUCACACUAUCCAGAUUUACUCCGGUAGAUUUUGUAAAACAACUUUUUGAUUUAUAUGGCAUGUGAAGGGGUUGAAGUAAUAAAAUAAUAGUAUGAAUGAUUAAGUAUGCAAAGUAAAUCUGAAUGUGAUGGUUGUGUUAGAUAUUGAAAUAUACAUGUUUUAGCUUGAAAUGGUUGAUAGGUUGGACUUUAUUAGUAUAUAAAUGUGUUUUUGUGCAAGAGGAUAGUAUGAGGGUGAGAAAAGUGGACUUAAAUGGUCCGAUUUUGUGUGUUUGAUUGUGUUUAAGUCCGAUAAUGCCUCGUACCCUGUUUCGGCAUCGGACACGGGUAAGGGGUGUUAAAUUUGGUAUUUUAACUUUCUUUAAAAAAAAAAGGUAAAAUUCAAUAAAUUUCAAAUAUUUCAUUCUUCUGAUUAAAUUUUAUCAUUGUUUCAUGGAAACUAAUUCUUUUAAAGUUCGUGAUAGCCAUUCCAAUAAUAUUCUCUCAAAAAUUUAAACUUAAAAUUUUCAUUUGGAAGUGUAUUAUGUUUUAUCAGGUUUUCUUUUUUGGUCCUUUAUUGCUGAGUUUAAUAGAGUAUUGAUUGCUUUAGUCUCGAAUAUUGAUCGACCACAGUGCCCUUUUCAAUUUCGGUCAAUUAAUUUGUGCAACAUUCUAAAUUAUUGUGAGUCAUAUUAGAUCGUUCUUGAAUAAUUGGAUUUUUUGAUCUAGUGUAUCUUUACAUAAUGUAAAAAUGGUAAAUGCAUAAUAAAAACUUUUAAUGAAUGGUCAAAACAAACAAAAGAGAAGUAGAUUGCACGAACUGCAAUAUGCUAUAAAUGUAUGUUUUUGUGAUGGCAACAUAAGAUUAAUUUAAUUUAUUUGUAUUAUUGAUGAGACAUAUAAUUAUUGAUGAGAAAUAUAACUAUCUGUGAUGCAUUGUUUAGGCAAUAAAUAGGUUGCAUUGUGGUACAUAUGUGGUAUGCAUUUUGAUUGCUUUUGUAGGAGUGUUUAUUGAUAUUUUACUUUGUAUUUUUAUAUUUUUGUGGUACGGAUUUUAUUGGAGAAUAAUCAUUGUUGGAAGUGAGAUUGUUUGAAGUGAAUGAUUGUAAUAUUAAGAGUAUCUUAUUAGGACUGCAAUUAUCCAUUGUAUAAUAGUAAGCUUGGACUUUAGCAAUAGGGUUUUAAAUCCAUUUUUAAAUAAAAACAUUUACUGAUUAAGGUUUUGCAGAGAUAAAUCCAAACUGUGUUAACAAACAUCACGAUUUGGGCGUUUGAUUAAUAAUGGUAAAGAAAAUUAAUUAGUUAUAUGUUUGAAGACAUUUGACUUCAGUUUGAGUUGAUUGAAAGUGUAGGUAUCUUCUUGGAAGCGUAUUAUCAUUGGGACUCUUUCUAAACCUCAUAACAUCAACUUAUGAUAUCAACUUGAUCAAAAAUUUAAAUAAUAUAAAUUUGAUUAAUAAUAAUCAAAAUUAACUCAAUAAAAACCAAGAAAAUAUCCGAAAAAUCCAAGAUAAUUUCAAGAAAAAUCCCACGCAUGUGGAUACGAUGUUUUAAAGUCCCAAAACUGAAAAUUUUGGGCACUGAAAAUAAAAAAUUUGCAACUUAUGGUCACUCAUUUUAUCUUUUUAAUUUCUUUUAAUUUUUUAUUUUUUAAGGAUCAAUUUUAAUUUUUUUUUCAGUAAAGGAGAAAAACUGAAAAUUUAGAGGAAAAUUCAGGUUAGAAUUUCCUUUAUUUUUUCUUUUUAGAAUUAAUUUCAGUUUUUUUCCUCAAUAAAAUGGAAGGGAAAAGCCUAAGAUUUUAUAGGGAAUUACCUAGGUUUAAUAGAAAAAGAUACUUUAGUUUUUACUGGAAAAACUAAUUUAUCUUUUUUAUUUUUUUAGAAUUAAUUUUAUUUUAUUUUCCAAUAAAAGGGAAACACCUAGAGCUUUAUAGGAAAUUAUUUGAGUUCUUAUUAAAGUUGGGCGACUAAAAAUGAGUAUGUUUAAUGGAAAAUUAAUGGUGGGUGACUAAAAUGAUAUAAAAGUAUGUAACGACAGUACCUAAAUUGCAAACUUUUAAAUUUUGGUGCCCAAAAUGAAUACUUAUAAAAGUUGAGUGACUAACUGAGUAUAUUUAAUGACAAAUUAACAGUGGGUGACUAAAAUGAUAAAAAAAGUAUGUAACGAUAGUGACUAAAAUGAUAAAAGUAUAUAACGACAGUACUUAAAUUGUAAACUUUCAAAUUUGGUGCCCAAAAAGAAUACCUAUAAAAGUGAGUGACCAACUGUGUGGUUUACCCUUUUCUUUAUUUUGCAUAUCUAUUUUAUUGUCUUUAUUUGGGAUUUGUAAUUGUUUUUUAAUAAUAUUCGUCUUGAAGGUUUAAACUCGUGUUUUCUUUCUUAAUAGUAUAACGUAUCUUACUACUACACCUAAUACUUGUUAGUGGUGAAAUGAAAAAAUAAAUAUGAAAAUUAUAUAUAUUUUUAAAUCAAUCCAUCAAAUAUAAACUUUAUUAUAAGAUAAACAUAAAAUGAUUUAUUUUAAAUAAUUUAUUGUAUACUAACAAAAUUUACUUGUACCACAUCAUUUGCAAUUUUAAACUUAAAAGCUUAAAAAAAAACACAAACACACACCAAAAAAAAAAAAAAAACAGAACACUUGUUUGAAUGCAAUUGGAUGAAGAAGUUGACAAUGUACGAGCUGCUAUGACAUGCACAUUCCUUGUCCAACAACUCAAACUCCCUUAUCUCUGCUACUCACCUUCCAUUUCAUAUCUUAAUCUUAAAGUGGGAAUCUGGCGAUGGAUUAUCUCCAUUCACUCACAGCAACUUCAACUGCUGCAAUCAUUGCUUUUCCACUACUUUUUCUUUUCUCUUUUCUAUGGAUCUCAAGAAGAAACACAAACUCGAAGAAAACAGCACCAGAAGCUGGUAUUAUUGGUCAUCUCCGCCUCUUAGGAGGAUCACAACCACCUCACAUAAGCUUGGCUAACAUGGCUGACAAAUAUGGAAGAAUCUUCAGUAUCAAGUUGGGUGUGCAUAGAGCUUUGGUGGUGAGCAAUUGGGAGAUUGCUAAAGAAUGUCUCACCAUAAAUGAUAAAGCAUUCGCCUCUCGUCCAAUGCUUGCAUGCUCGGAAAUUAUGGGUUACAACGGUGCCAUGAUUGGCUUUGCGCCAUAUGGACCUUAUUGGCGUCAAGUGCGUAAGAUUGUCAUUAUUGAGCUCCUCUCAAAUCACCGACUUGAAUUGCUUAAACCUCUGAGGGAAUCCGAGAUAAAGACAUCUCUGCAACAGUUAUACCAGCUGUGGAACAAGAAGAAAAGUACUAACUCCGAUAAAGUAUUGGUGGAGAUGAAGGGAUGGUUCAAAGAAGUUACUCUGAAUGUUAUUAUGAGGAUGAUUGUAGGGAAGCGACUUCCAAAUUCCAGUGAAGGAGGUGAAAACUUGAAAAGGAAGAAAUAUUUGGAUGACUUCUUUGAACUGAGUGGAAAGUUCCUAAUAUCAGAUGCGUUGCCGUUUUUAAGAUGGUUGGACAUAGGUGGAGACAUGAAGUGCAUGAAGAAGACAGCGAAAGAAUUGGACCAAGUUGUGCAGGGAUGGCUACGAGAGCACAAGCAGAAGAGAGCUGAAAAUAAGGCAAAUAGUGAGGAAGAUUUCAUGGGAGUGAUGCUGUCUAUUCUCAGUGAUGCGGAGGAACUCCAUGUUGAUACAAUCAAUAAAGCCAUCAGUCUCGUACGUGCAUCUCUCUUAACCAAACUGAUUGCCAUUAAUAUCAUACAGAAGUUGGAAAUGCUAUUAAUUCAUUGUUGAUUGCCAUUAAUAACAUACAGAAGUUGGAAAUGCUAUUAAUUCAUUGAUUGCCAUUAACAACGUCAGUUACUCUGACAUGGGCUUUGUCUUGUUACUCAAUAAUCGUGACACAUUAAGUAAGGUCCAACAAGAACUAGAUGUUAAGGUUGGUAAGGAUAGGUUGGUAGUGACGGAAUCAGACACCAAAAGCUUAGUGUACCUUCAAUCCAUUAUUAAGGAAACGCUACGCUUAUACCCUGCUCUUCCACUAUCCCUGAUCCAUGAAGCCAUUGAAGACUGCACAGUUAAUGGAUAUCAUGUUUCAGCUGGCACUUGGCUUAUUAUAAAUCUUCAUAAGAUUCAUCGUGAUCCACUUAUAUGGGCAAAUCCCUCUAAAUUUCAACCUGAAAGAUUUAUGACCACACAUAAAGAUGUUGAUGUGAGGGGACAAAAUUUUGAACUGAUUCCAUUUGGAAGUGGUAGAAGAAUGUGUCCCGGACUUUCAUUUGCACUUCAGAAUUUGUCACUUAUACUAGCUAAUGUGUUACAUUGGUUUGAGUUUGAGACCUCGUUCGAUGAAGCCGUUGAUAUGCGUGAAGCACCUGGCCUGACGAGUUCUAAAGCAACUCCAUUAGAAGUUCAUAUAACUCCUCGUAAUCCUACUUAUGUUUAGCAAUUAUUAUAAGAAUUAACUUUUUAGUAUUAUUACUAUUUAUAUCUUUUUUGUGGAUAUCAAAAUUGUUAGUAUAUUGCUUAUUUAUCGAACAAUUAUUAUAUACACGAUCAAAAAUAAAUAUUUGGGCUACUUGGUGCUGUUGGUGCAAUUGAUUUUACUGAUUUAAUAUUUUUAUUUUAUUUUUUAUUUUUGAAUAAAUAAUUUUAUUCAAAACAUGCAUCUCAGUAGUUGUGUUGAAAGAAUAUCAACGUACUAAAGCAUAUGAGAACGAUGGUCAAUUGGAACCUUACCCCUGUAUUGGUGGAUAUCAACGUACUACUAAAGAAUUAAGUUGGAGGUGUUUACUGGGCACUUCUAACAAAAUUUGAGAGAGUUCAUUUCAUAAACAUAUAGUUUUAACUAAAUGAUAAAUUUAGAGUUGUUAUGCCUCUACCACUUCUCAAUUUACUCCUCACGAAAGCUCCACUUAUUAUUCGAACAUAUCUUUCGGGAACACUUCUCUACUUAACAGUUAUAUUAGUUUAUGUGAGCCUCACUUAUUAAUUGUCACUAUUCAUCUUUACUACCGUAUUUCAUCUCAAGUGAUUAAAAGCACUAUCAAUCCCCAUUCUACCUACACAUAUGGUGAUAGACAAUAUGGCCCCUUUUCUUGACUUGUUAAUAGAGACGUGACACGUGUAUCUCAAAAUUGUAGCUAAGGGUUUAAAAUACCUCAAAAUUGACUAGAAAAUGGCGCUCUCUCUCUCUUCCCCCCUCUCCCUCCCUCUCUCUCUUAAUAUACAUCAUCUACAUAAAUAGAACAUAAAAUUCAACGGUUGACUUAUUAAGAUAUUAAUUGUAUAAAAAAAUUAUAAAAAGUAUAAUAUCACUAUAAUUUUUGAUAAAUUAUAAAUAGCACGAGUCAAACCAAAAUCUCACAUAAGACAUUAAACACCCUUAACCAUCAAACCAAUACAUAAAGUUUAAUAUCAUUAUAAUUUUAUACUAAUAUAAGUGUAUCAUUUCCCUAUAUUUAAUGAUGAUAAUAAUAGACAAGAAUAUUAAUUUCGUGGAAAACAAUAAGUGAACGAAUUUCCUUUUUCAUCUUCAUUUUUUAUUUGGAAAUAAAAAUGUGUUCCACGAAGAUUACCAGGCUGGUUUUGUUAAUGUAGAAAAUAACGUUCUGUUUGUUUUACGAAAAAUGUAUUCAAAGUUUGAUUCAUGGAAAAUAGUUUGAUCAAUGGAAAAUGACUUAUAAGUCAACUGAAAAUAAGUCAUUUUUCUUGUAAAAUGACUUAGCGUAAAUCAUUUUUUCGGAGAAGAACUCAUUUAUAGGUAAUUUUACUUUCAUAUAAAAAAUAACUUUUAGUCAAGCUUAAUAUUAUUAUAUUAAUAAUAAAUUUUAUUUUUAUUUUUAAAAAUAUUUAAAAUAAAUAAAAUAUUAAUAUAACAUAUUAUAAUUUUUAAUAUUAUUAAACAUACAUAUUUAAUUAUCUCUAUCUAAUCAUAUAAUAAAUUAUUAUUUAAUAAAUUAAUUUUAUUUUAAUAAUAAAUUUUGAAAAUAAUAAUUUUAAAUAAUUUCAUAUAUUAUUGAAAAAAUUCAAUAUUAAUAUUUUGAUAACAAAUAUUUAUUACAAUUAUAAAUAUAUUAAUAAUAAAUGUUUUGUAGUAUAAAGUUUAAAAUAUGUCAUAAGUCUAUGUACUCUUUACAAAUUCAGAAUUAUAAAGUUUAAAUAUUUAGCCCAUCUACUCUUCAGAUUUGAAAAUCAAGUCCAAUUGUUAACAUUGCUUAAUUUUUUUUGUUAAUUUUGUCGAUUUUAAAUUUUCAAACAAAAAAUAUUCACUUGAUAGUCAUUUAACUAAAAAAUGAGGUUAUAAUUAACCUGAAUUUAAUAGAAUAUUUUUAGUAGUAGUAACUGUUGAGCCUGAAUUUAAUAUCUAAAAAGUAAAACUAAAUUUUCAAAAAUAAAAGUAAAUGGGCUAAAUAAUAUAAUUUUAUAAUAUGAUUCCACAAAUCUAUUAUUUAUGUUAUUUUAGAUAUUUAGUUAGCGAGAGAUGGUAGUGGAUCGUCAAGGAAAAGUGGUUUGCAAUAUUUGUCUUUGGGUUAAUUUAAUUAAUUGUCCCUAGAGUAUUAAUUAGACUUCAAAUUAGUUCCUAAAUUUUAAAAUAUUUUAUUUAAAUUCUUAAAAUAUUGGUAUCGAACAAAUCAUAUCAUUACCUCAACUUAACCGCUAAUUUAGAUGUUGAAUAAUAGUUUGAAUUUGACAUAGAGCAUAUUCAAAUUACGAGCAACAAAUUAUAAACACAUGUAAACUUAUCACAUAAACAUGUUGGAUAUGAAAAAUAAACGGUAUAAAAGAAUUUAGAAGUGUAAUUUUUUUAAGUUGUUAUUGUUUGUAUUCUAGCUUAAUAAUUGAGUAAUAUUAUAUAUUUAAUUUGAUGUAUUUAUUUAUAAAUAAAUUAUUGUAAUAUAUGAAAAAAAACAUAAAAUAUAUAUUUAUAGAUAUAAAAUAAAUUCAAUUAAAUAAUGAAAAUAUAAAAGAAUCUUAAAUGUAUUAAUUGAAAACAAUUUUUAUGAAAUAUUUUCAGGAAAAUUACUAAAUAAUCGAAAAUAUUUAUACUGAUUUAUUUGAACACCAUAAAAAAUUAAAUUUUUUAUAAAAAUAAAUCAUUUUUCAAAAAUCUUUUUUUUUUGGAAAUCAUUUUCAAGAAAAUAAAUGGAGCCCAAGAUUGGAAUUAGUAUAACCUGUCGUCUUUCUUCACAUCGCAGUACUUCGUUGAUUUUCUUAUAUGGCUUAAAAAUUCCAAUAUCAGUAACGUAUGUUAGUGAAAGAUCAAUAUACGAUAAUUACGUCAACAACACAACAAUGCAUAUAUAUGCAUUGUCUGUAUCUUAGAUUGAAAGUAGAAAUUUGGCGAUGGAUUAUUCCCAUUCACUCACAGCAACUUCAGCUGUUGCAAUCAUUGCUUUUCCACUACUAUUUCUUUUCUCUUUUCUAUGGAUCUCAAGAAGAAACACAAACUCGAAGAAAACAGCACCAGAAGCUGGUGGAGCAUGGCCUAUUAUUGGUCAUCUCCGCCUCUUAGGAGGAUCACAACCACCUCACAUAAGCUUGGCUAACAUGGCUGACAAAUAUGGAGGAAUCUUCAGUAUCAAGUUGGGUGUGCAUAGAGCUUUGGUGGUGAGCGAUUGGGAGAUUGCAAAAGAAUGUCUCACCGUAAAUGAUAAAGAGUUUGCCUCUCGUCCAAAACUUGCAAGCUCGGAAAUUUUGGGUAACAACAGAGCCAUGUUAGGCUUUGCACCAUAUGGACCUUAUUGGCGUCAAAUACGCAAGGUUGCCGCUAUUGAGCUCCUCUCAAAUCACCGACUCGAAUUACUUAAACAUGUAAGGGAAUCCGAGGUGAAGACAUCUCUGCAACAGUUGUAACAGCUGUGGAACAAGAAGAGAAGUGCUAACUCCGAUAAAGUAUUGGUGGAGAUGAGGGGAUGGUUCAAAGAAGUUACUCUGAACGUGAUUAUGUGGAUGAUUGUAGGGAAGCGAAUUCCAAAUUCCAGUGAAGGAGGUGAAAACUUGAAAUGGAGGAAAUCGAUGGAUGACUUCUUUGUACUAAGUGGAAAGUUCUUAAUAUCAGAUGCUUUGCCGUUUCUGAGAUUCCUGGACAUAGGUGGAGACAUCAAGUUCAUGAAGAAGACAGCGAAAGAAUUGGACCAAGUUCUGCAGGGAUGGCUACGAGAGCACAAGCAGAAGAGAGCUGAAAAUAAGGCAAACGGUGAGGAAGAUUUCAUGGGAGUGAUGCUGUCUAUUCUCAGUGAGGCGGAGGAACACCAUGCUGAUACAAUAAACAAAAUCAAUUGUCUAGUACGUGCAUAUCUCUUAACCAAAUAGAUUGUAAUUAAUGGCAAUUUUUUUUUGGUCAAGAUUGCUAUUAAUAACAUACAUAAGUUGGAAAUGCCAUUAUUUCAUUGUUGAUCUUUUCAUGGUAUUUGAUGUAACAGGGACUUGUCUUAGGCGUGGAGGAUACCACAUCCAUCACAUUGAUAUGGGCCUAUCUUUGCUACUCAAUAAUCGUGACAAAUUGAGUAAAGUCCAACAAGAACUAGAUGUCCACAUUGGUAAGGAUAGACUUCAGACACAAAAAACUUAGUGUACCUUCAAUCCAUCAUUAAAGAAACUCUACGCCUAUAUCCUCCUGCUCCGCUCUCUGUGAUCCAUGAAGCCACUGAAGACUGCACGGUUAAUGGAUACCAUGUUUCAGCUGGCACCUGGCUUAUUAUGAAUCUUCAUAAGAUUCAUCAUGAUCCACUUAUAUGGGCAAAUCCUUUUGAAUUUCAACCUGAAAGAUUUAUAACUACCCACAAAGACAUUGAUGUGAGGGGACAGAAUUUUGAACUAUUUCCAUUUGGAAGUGGUAGAAGAAUGUACCCCGGAGUUUCAUUUGCACUUCAAGUUUUACAGCUUACGUUGGCUAAUGUGUUGCAUUGGUUUGAGUUUGAAACCCCAUCAGGCAUAGCAGUCGAUAUG